ACUUGCCUACGGGGGGCAGCAGUGAGGAAUAUUGGUCAAUGGGCGAGAGCCUGAACCAGCCAAGUCGCGUGAGGGAGUACUGCCCUAUGGGUUGUAAACCUCUUUUGUCGGGGAGCAAAAGCCGGACGUGUCCAGCUGUGAGAGUACCCGAAGAAAAAGCAUCGGCUAACUCCGUGCCAGCAGCCGCGGUAAUACGGAGGAUGCGAGCGUUAUCCGGAUUUAUUGGGUUUAAAGGGUGCGCAGGCGGCGAGUUAAGUCAGCGGUAAAAUUUCGGGGCUCAGCCCCGACGAGCCGUUGAAAAUGGC
Molecule: ribosomal RNA, 305 nt
Filed under: uncultured bacterium
Lineage: Bacteria
Description: bacterial SSU rRNA
Rfam family: Bacterial small subunit ribosomal RNA
Source: RNAcentral